AUUGAACGCUGGCGGCAUGCCUUACACAUGCAAGUCGAACGGUAACAGGUCUUCGGAUGCUGACGAGUGGCGAACGGGUGAGUAAUACAUCGGAACGUGCCCGAUCGUGGGGGAUAACGGAGCGAAAGCUUUGCUAAUACCGCAUACGAUCUACGGAUGAAAGCAGGGGACCGCAAGGCCUUGCGCGGACGGAGCGGCCGAUGGCAGAUUAGGUAGUUGGUGGGGUAAAGGCUCACCAAGGCGACGAUCAGUAGCGGGUCUGAGAGGAUGAUCCGUCACACUGGAACUGAGACACGGUCCAGACUCCUACGGGAGGCAGCAGUGGGGAAUUUUGGACAAUGGGCGAAAGCCUGAUCCAGCCAUGUCGCGUGCAGGAUGAAGGCCUUCGGGUUGUAAACUGCUUUUGUACGGAACGAAAAGACUCCUUCUAAUAAAGGGGGUCCCAUGACGG
This 451-nucleotide ribosomal RNA is filed under the name uncultured bacterium. Its description in RNAcentral is "bacterial SSU rRNA". It matches the Rfam family "Bacterial small subunit ribosomal RNA", at positions 30 to 475 of the family's 1533-position model. The record is from RNAcentral.